RNAcentral lists this unclassified non-coding RNA (378 nucleotides) under plant metagenome. Its description in RNAcentral is "partial contains 5.8S ribosomal RNA, internal transcribed spacer 2, and large subunit ribosomal RNA". The stretch from base 1 to 105 matches the Rfam family "5.8S ribosomal RNA", at positions 50 to 154 of the family's 154-position model. The record is from RNAcentral.
GAAAUGCGAUAAGUAAUGUGAAUUGCAGAAUUCAGUGAAUCAUCGAAUCUUUGAACGCACCUUGCGCUCCUUGGUAUUCCUUGGAGCAUGCCUGUUUGAGUAUCAUGAAAUCUUCAAAGUAAAUCUUUUGUUAACUCAAUUGGUUUCUACUUUGGUAUUGGAGGUCUUUGCAGCUUCACACCUGCUCCUCUUUGUUCAUUAGCUGGAUCACAGUGUUAUGCUUGGUUCCACUCGGCGUGAUAAGUUAUCUAUCGCUGAGGACACUGUAAAAGGUGGCCAAGGUAAAUGCAGAUGAUCCGCUUCUAAUAGUCCAUUGACUUGGACAAUACUUUUAUGAUCUGAUCUCAAAUCAGGUAGGACUACCCGCUGAACUUAAGC